Molecule: ribosomal RNA, 447 nt
Filed under: uncultured bacterium
Lineage: Bacteria
Description: bacterial SSU rRNA
Rfam family: Bacterial small subunit ribosomal RNA
Source: RNAcentral
UGGGGAAUAUUGGACAAUGGGCGAAAGCCUGAUCCAGCCAUGCCGCGUGAGUGACGAAGGCCUUAGGGUUGUAAAACUCUUUCGUCGGGGACGAUAAUGACGGUACCCGAAGAAGAAGCUCCGGCUAACUUCGUGCCAGCAGCCGCGGUAAUACGAAGGGAGCUAGCGUUGUUCGGAAUCACUGGGCGUAAAGCGCACGUAGGCGGAUAGUUAAGUCAGGGGUGAAAUCCUGGGGCUCAACCCCAGAACUGCCUUUGAUACUGGCUGUCUCGAGGUCGAGAGAGGUUGGUGGAAUUCCUAGUGUAGAGGUGAAAUUCGUAGAUAUUAGGAAGAACACCGGUGGCGAAGGCGGCUCACUGGAUCGGUACUGACGCUGAGGUGCGAAAGCGUGGGGAGCAAACAGGAUUAGAUACCCCCGUAGUCCCUGAGCGGGCUGGCAAGGCGCAU